Molecule: long non-coding RNA, 898 nt
Organism: Scleropages formosus (Asian bonytongue)
Lineage: Eukaryota; Metazoa; Chordata; Actinopteri; Osteoglossiformes; Osteoglossidae
Exons: 3
Source: RefSeq, a predicted model, not a curated record
GAACGAUCUGGAGGAGAAUCGGAUUACACACAGGGGCUCACACACAUGUAGGAAAGGAAACUGACCAACAUCCAGCUUUGAGGUUCAAGUGCAUCACUACUGUUGCCCUACGAAAGAACAAGUGGUGGGUCUCCUGUGAUUCAUUUACAGGUUGUGGUCUGAAGAACAUAAAAAUCCAUGGCAACACAAAGCGAAGGGUGCUACUUCUGCCACUCUCCAGGACUCGGCUUGUUCCCGUUGACGAAUUAGCUGCUGCCUUUUGCUUCCUUCAUGAUGACGCACGUGAAGCACUGGACAAGAAAACAGGUGGAAAAUGGAAAUACAAUGAUGAGUCACUGUCUGCGUGUGAAAAAAUGAAAGACCUGGUGGAAGCACGAGCCGCAGACAGAGCAGACAAGAGCUACUAUUUUUUUCUCCCCGGUCCAAAUACAGUUUAUUUUAUGUCAUUUUUUAUUUUUACCCCAAACUACCAAGCCCUUCUUUCCUUUAUCAAUGUCUAUUCAAGACAUUCUUUUCAGUGCUUUGGCACUGAACCUACUGAAUUUAUAUCUAUGAGCAGAAAAGAAAACAUGAACAAACUUCUAUGAUUUACAUGUGUAAGAACUAAUACUUACAGAAUUAGACAGUAUAUUUCCAUAAAAAUGAGAUAUAUAUACUGGAGAAUGGGCGAUGGAAUAACAAGUCACAAAAAAUAAUAUCCUAGUGUUGAGAUAUUCCCUGAAAUGUAAAUCUUGCAUUGUCCCAGGAAUCUUCUACCCAGUAACAGAUUUUGCAUUCAGCCACUUUAUUAUUAAAACAAGUGCACAUAUCCAUUAUUUCUCUCUGGGUAAUUUAAACAUGCUUGUACAAAAUGAAAAGCUUCUUAAAAAUUUGGAAUUAGUAAGUUGGGCUAAUCAGU